This 328-nucleotide ribosomal RNA is filed under the name uncultured eukaryote. Its description in RNAcentral is "partial 18S ribosomal RNA". It matches the Rfam family "Eukaryotic small subunit ribosomal RNA", at positions 1470 to 1796 of the family's 1831-position model. The record is from RNAcentral.
CCCUUAGAUGUCCUGGGCCGCACGCGCGCUACACUGAUGCAUGCAACGAGUUUAUAACCUUGGCCUGAAAGGUCUGGGUAAUCUUUUGAACGAGCAUCGUGAUAGGGAUAGAUUAUUGCAAUUGUUAAUCUUGAACGAGGAAUUCCUAGUAAACGCGAGUCAUCAGCUCGCAUUGAUUACGUCCCUGCCCUUUGUACACACCGCCCGUCGCACCUACCGAUUGAAUGGUUCGGUGAAGAUCUCGGACUUCGAUAUUUAUUCUUUAUUGAGUUUAUAUUGUGGGAAGUUAUCUAAACCUCAUCAUUUAGAGGAGGGUGAAGUCGUAACA